RNAcentral lists this transfer RNA (70 nucleotides) under Microcaecilia sp. PZ-2009. Its description in RNAcentral is "tRNA-Cys". The record is from RNAcentral. Lineage: Eukaryota; Metazoa; Chordata; Amphibia; Gymnophiona; Siphonopidae.
AGUUCCGUAGUGUUAACGUACAUGCAGGAGUGCAAAUCCUGAGACGUAGACUAGCAGUCUGCCGGGGCUU